RNAcentral lists this ribosomal RNA (253 nucleotides) under uncultured bacterium. RNAcentral's name for it is "partial 16S ribosomal RNA". It matches the Rfam family "Bacterial small subunit ribosomal RNA", at positions 524 to 776 of the family's 1533-position model. The record is from RNAcentral.
UACAGAGGUCUCAAGCGUUGUUCGGAUUCAUUGGGCGUAAAGGGUGCGUAGGUGGCGCCGUAAGUCGGGUGUGAAAUCCCGGGGCUCAACCCCGGAACUGCACUUGAUACUGCGUGGCUAGGGUACUGGAGAGGAGACUGGAAUUUACGGUGUAGCAGUGAAAUGCGUAGAUAUCGUAAGGAAGACCAGUGGCGAAGGCGAGUCUCUGGACAGUUACCGACGCUGAGGCACGAAGGCCAGGGGAGCAAACGGG